This 1094-nucleotide ribosomal RNA is filed under the name Bacillus licheniformis. RNAcentral describes it as "bacterial SSU rRNA". It matches the Rfam family "Bacterial small subunit ribosomal RNA", at positions 30 to 1124 of the family's 1533-position model. The record is from RNAcentral. Lineage: Bacteria; Bacillati; Bacillota; Bacilli; Caryophanales; Bacillaceae.
CGAAAGGGCGGCGGCUAAUACAUGCAAGUCGAGCGGACCGACGGGAGCUUGCUCCCUUAGGUCAGCGGCGGACGGGUGAGUAACACGUGGGUAACCUGCCUGUAAGACUGGGAUAACUCCGGGAAACCGGGGCUAAUACCGGAUGCUUGAUUGAACCGCAUGGUUCAAUUAUAAAAGGUGGCUUUUAGCUACCACUUGCAGAUGGACCCGCGGCGCAUUAGCUAGUUGGUGAGGUAACGGCUCACCAAGGCGACGAUGCGUAGCCGACCUGAGAGGGUGAUCGGCCACACUGGGACUGAGACACGGCCCAGACUCCUACGGGAGGCAGCAGUAGGGAAUCUUCCGCAAUGGACGAAAGUCUGACGGAGCAACGCCGCGUGAGUGAUGAAGGUUUUCGGAUCGUAAAACUCUGUUGUUAGGGAAGAACAAGUACCGUUCGAAUAGGGCGGUACCUUGACGGUACCUAACCAGAAAGCCACGGCUAACUACGUGCCAGCAGCCGCGGUAAUACGUAGGUGGCAAGCGUUGUCCGGAAUUAUUGGGCGUAAAGCGCGCGCAGGCGGUUUCUUAAGUCUGAUGUGAAAGCCCCCGGCUCAACCGGGGAGGGUCAUUGGAAACUGGGGAACUUGAGUGCAGAAGAGGAGAGUGGAAUUCCACGUGUAGCGGUGAAAUGCGUAGAGAUGUGGAGGAACACCAGUGGCGAAGGCGACUCUCUGGUCUGUAACUGACGCUGAGGCGCGAAAGCGUGGGGAGCGAACAGGAUUAGAUACCCUGGUAGUCCACGCCGUAAACGAUGAGUGCUAAGUGUUAGAGGGUUUCCGCCCUUUAGUGCUGCAGCAAACGCAUUAAGCACUCCGCCUGGGGAGUACGGUCGCAAGACUGAAACUCAAAGAAUUGACGGGGGCCCGCACAAGCGGUGGAGCAUGUGUUUUAAUUCGAAGCAACGCGAAGACCUUACCAGUCUUGACAUCCUCUGACACCCUAGAGAUAGGGCUUCUCCUCGGGGGCAGAUGACAGCUAGUGCAUGAUUGUCGUCAGCUCGUUCGUGAGAUGUGGUAGUUCCGCACGAACGCACCUGGAUCUUGCGCCAGCAC